This 490-nucleotide ribosomal RNA is filed under the name uncultured bacterium. Its description in RNAcentral is "partial 16S ribosomal RNA". It matches the Rfam family "Bacterial small subunit ribosomal RNA", at positions 30 to 507 of the family's 1533-position model. The record is from RNAcentral.
AUUGAACGCUGGCGGCAGGCCUAACACAUGCAAGUCGAACGGUAACAGGAAGAAGCUUGCUUCUUUGCUGACGAGUGGUGGACGGGUGAGUAAUGUCUGGGAAACUGCCUGAUGGAGGGGGAUAACUACUGGAAACGGUAGCUAAUACCGCAUAACGUCGCAAGACCAAAAAGGGGGACCUUCGGGCCUCUUGCCAUCGGAUGUGCCCAGAUGGGAUUAGCUAGUAGGUGGGGUAACGGCUCACCUAGGCGACGAUCCCUAGCUGGUCUGAGAGGAUGACCAGCCACACUGGAACUGAGACACGGUCCAGACUCCUACGGGAGGCAGCAGUGGGGAAUAUUGCACAAUGGGCGCAAGCCUGAUGCAGCCAUGCCGCGUGUAUGAAGAAGGCCUUCGGGUUGUAAAGUACUUUCAGCGGGGAGGAAGGGAGUAAAGUUAAUACCUUUGCUCAUUGACGUUACCCGCAGAAGAAGCACCGGCUAACUCCGUG